GUGGGUGCUGCUUUGGUGACCAGUGAGCUGAGAUAAGGGGGGACUUUACCUAGCAGGGUCUUGUAGAUGACCUGGAGCCAGUGGGUUUGGCGACGAGUAUGAAGCGAGGGCUAGCCAACGAGAGCAUACAGGUUGCCGUGGUGGGUAGUAUAUGGUGCUUUGGUGACAAAACGGAUGACACUGUGAUAGACUGCAUCCAGUUUGGUGAGUAGGGUAUUGGAGUCUAUUUUGUAAAUGACAUCGCCGAAGUCGAGGAUCGGUAGGAUGGUCAGUUUUACGAGGGUAUGUUUGGCAGCAUGAGUGAAGGAUGCUUUGUUGCGAAAUAGGAAGCCAAUUCUAGAUUUAACUUUGGAUUCGAGAUGUUUGAUGUGAGUCUGGAAGGAGAGCUUACAGUCUAACCAGACACCUAGGUAUUUGUAGUUGUCCACAUAUUCUAAGUCAGAACCGUCCAGAGUAGUGAUGCUGGAUGGGCGGGCAGGUGCGGGCAGCGAUCGGUUGAAGAGCAUGCAUUUAGUUUUACUUGUAUUUAAGAGCAGUUGGAGGCCAUGGAAGGAGAGUUGUAUGGCAUUGAAGCUUAUCUGGAGGGUUGUUAACAUAGUGUCCAAAGAAGGGACAGAAAUAUACAGAAUGGUGUCAUCUGCGUAGAGGUGGAUCAGAGACUCACCAGCAGCAAGAGCGACAUCAUUGAUGUAUACAGAGAAAAGAGUUGGCCCAAGAAUUGAACCCUGUGGCACCCCCAUAGAGACUACCAGAGGCCCGGACAACAGGCCAUCCGAUUUGACCAAUUGAACUCUAUCAGAGAAGUAGUUGGUGAACCAGGCGAGGCAAUCAUUUGAGAAACACUCACCACCAGGGGCUGAGUGUGUGGGCAUGUCUGAGGCUCGAGGUUAGUGAUCAUUUAGAAAUAAAACUACAGCUACAACCUGGUUUGUUGUUUGGGACAAGAUUAGGUGGAUUGGACGUUUUAAGACGUGACCAGCAGUUGGGUGCCAUUUGAGACGCAGAUCCUGUUUCUGGAGGCCCAACGGGUAGCCAGGCUCAGAUCCUGUUUUAGGAGGCCCAACGGGUAGCCGGGCUCAGAUCCUGUUUCUGGAGGCCCAACUGGUAGCCAGGCUCAGAUCCUGAUUUUGGAGGCCCAACUGGUCGCCAGGCUCAGAUAUUUCACAGCUCUCUGUCUGUGAUUAACAUCAUGUUGACGCAAGUGCUGUGUAAAUAAAAACAUAAAACAUAUGUAUAAGACCUUUAGCGUUUCUCAUGUAGUUGUCCUAGGGAGUAUUGUCGGGAAAGAAUGAUGACCCAUUUCAGAAGCAGAUGUUUGAGGUCACCAUCAGACUCAGUCAACUCCUUUUCCCCCAUUGGUAGAGCUCCUGCAAUUGGAUGGUUGACCGAUAAAACGCUUGACUGUUUUUUCUUAAAAAUCCACAUACAGUGUACAUGGCCAUGUUUCCUGACUGUUGAAAGCCUACAGCACUGUCAGUCACAGGGGAUAAAACAGCUGCAUAGAUUAAAACAGAAUCCAAAUCUAACAAUGACUCAAUAAACCGCUCUUAGAGCCCCUCGAUCCAUUUUAGAUUCUGAGAAACGGUCCUUGAUCACUCUCAUCAGUGAGUGGUAUUACACCGCUGAGGCAGUCACACACAGCUUGUCUGGUUUCUCUCGUCAUUUCCUGAUUCAUCCAACCACUCCAUCCCUCCACCCCCAUCUUCAGCUGUUUAAACAGCAGAAAUUAUGUCUGUAAUUGUUUCAGUGUGUAGCCUGUUAUUUUAAUGUGCCAAGCUGGAUGACAAAAAAAUGAAUCAAUCAAUGAUUGCAGUAAACGGCAAGUAUUUUCUGACUACUUACAUUCUUAAAGUUUUACCACCUUUAGACUUACUUUUUGGAAUAGUUUGACUAAUUAUCAGGUGUUUCCAAUUUCUCCCCAGUGAUAUGAAAUGGAUAUCACCACAGUGAAGGAGACUGAGAGACAGGGCAUGGGUUGUCUUUUCACUGCGAGUGACCUGCAACUUUCUCGACAGAUUUGACAGAAAGCCUAGGCCUGGAUAAAUAUGUCUCCUCUAUGCUUGUGGGCCUUCUCUCUCUGUUUCUUAAUGCUCUACUACUUAUUCAAAUCAAAUCAAAUCAAAUUGUAUUUGUCACAUGCACCGAAUACAACAGGUGUAGACCUUACCGUGAAAUGCUUACUUCUUAACAUCAUUGUGAAAAGACCCCAUGCUGAGAUGCAUUUAUUUAUAGUGUGGAUGGCUGAGGUAACAGGUACCAGUAUUAGGACAGGGGACAAGGAGAACACAGUUAUGGUGUCCAUAUUAGGACAGUCACAGCAGGACUUGUCAGUCUUAUUGGCUGUAACCUCACACAAGGGUAAUUUAAAAACCAAAUGACAUGAUGAGGGGUUUUUGUUUGUCUUGUUAGUGAUUUUGGGCGACGACUUCACUUAUAUUUCUUGAAAAAAAAUGUUCUUCUUUUAACCGUUCAACUGUUGAAUAGUGAAAAAAUACCAAUCAUGGAAUUGUAGUUUUGAAUGUUCGUUACAAAACAUUUUACGGACAGUAAUGUUUUUUGGCUGAUUUAUAGUGUUCCUUUCCUCCAUCUGACAGAGCAUAGUUAGGCUACUGGGUGAUUCCUCACCAUAUGACAGAGCAUCAUUAGGCUACUGGGUGAUUCCUCACCAUCUGACAGAGCAUCAUUAGGGUUGUUCCUUACAAAACUAGAGCAAAACAGGACCAGGAUUUUGGGAUUUUAAUUAAAUUAAAUCUAUAGAAGGGUCCUUUGGAGGAACUAUUGUUGACGUAUAUUUGACAUUUGUAUGUUAAAGCAUAAUUGAGACAUCAAUAAUUUCCUUUGGAAUAUUUGUGACCUUUUCCUUUAAUACUCCAUAAUGUUUCAUCUGUAGGUUCUAUAAAGUAAAAGUUGGUGUCAUGUGAAGCUUUACAGUGUGUACUGUAAAAUGCGUAGUAUUUUGAUUUCAAUAACAAUUUUCUUACUAAGGAUCUGACCCUUUUUUUCAAAUUUUGCCUGAAAUGACAUACACAAAUCUACUGCCUGUAGUUCAAGACCUGAAGCAAGGAUAUGCAUAUUCUUGAUACCAUUUAAAAGCAAACACUUUGAAGUUUCUGGAAAUGUGAAAUUAAUGUAGGACAAUACAACACAUUAGAUCUUGAUAAAGAUAAUAUUGUUCCAGCCCAGGUGCAAUUUAGAUUUUGACCGCUAUAUGGCAGCAGUGUAUGUGUAAAAUGUUAGACUGAUCCAAUGAACCAUUGCACAUCUGUUCAAAAUGUUGUAUCAAGACUGCCCACAUUUGCCUAAUUGGUUUAUUAAUACAUACAGCCUGACGGGAUACUCUCAAUUGUGAAUCUGUAAAAGUUUGUGAGGAUUUUAAGGGCCAAGACAAAUUUCUUCAGCCUCCUGAGGUUGAAGAGGCACUGUUGCGCCUUCUUCACCACAGUGUCUGAAUGGGUGGACCAUUUCAGAUCGUCAGUGAUGUGUACGCCGAGGAACUUGAAGCUUUACACCUUCUCCACUGCGGUCCCGUCGAUGUGGAUAGGGGCAUGCUCCUUCUGCUGUUUCCUGAAGUCCACGAUCAGCUCCUUUGUUUUGUUGACGUUGAGUGAGAGGUUAUUUUCCUGGCACCACUCUCCCAGGGCCCUCACAUCCUCCCUGUAGGCUACCUCGUCAUUGUUGUAAUCAGGGCUACUACUGUUGUGUCGUCUGCAAACUUGAUGAUUGAGUUGGAGGCGUGCGUGGCCACGCAGUCAUGGUUGAACAGGGAGUACAGGACGGGGCUGAGCAUGCACCCUUGUGGGGCCCCUGUGUUGAGGAUCAGCGAAGUGGAGGUGUUGUUUCAUACCUUCACCACCUGGGGGUGGCCCAUCAUGUAGUACAGGACCCAGUUGCACAGGGCGGUGUUCAGACCCUGGGCCCCGAGCUUAAUGAUGAGCCUGAAGGGUACUAUGGUGUUGAAUUCUGAGCUAUAGUCAAUGAAUAGCAUUUUUACAUAGGUAUCCCUCUUGUCCAGAUGGGAUAGGGCAGUGUGUAGUGCGAUGGCGACUGCAUCGUCUGUGGAUCUAUUGGAUAACACACAAAAAGCAAAACACAGCUUCGGAGCUAGAAGCAGAGCUGCCAUAUCUGUCCGCACCAUCUUACUACGUCACAUCUGUGCCGAUAUGUACACCAUGUCAUUGAUCUCUUUCUCACUCUGCUGUGGGUGCAUCAUAUGUGUCUUGUUAGCUCUCACUCAUAUGGCGAGGGGCUGAAGCUCAUUGGUUUUACUUGAAUUGCUAGGGGGCUGGCCCAUGUGGGGGAAAAUGUAGGGAAAAUGCGCCAGCACAGCUUCCAGAAAAACAGUGGCUUUCAAACUAGGGAUUUCGUGGCUGUUUGAGGAAAGACAUUAAUUCUGUUCAUAAAUUAUGCAGCCCAAAGCGGGAUGUUAAAAAAAGACUUAAUAGUUGCCAAAGUUAAUUUACGAAUAUUGAAAAUUGAAUGCAAUGUAACCAAUCGCAGCCCUGCUUUUAGUUCUAGCAUUGCACAUCCUGAAAAUCACCAGGGCGACCAUUUUGAAUCCAUUUUCACAUUCACUCUGUUAGUAAUGCUUAUACAUUGGAUCGUAACUCUACAAGUAGCAGAGAUCCCACUCUGAAACUUUGAUAUACCCGUAGAGUAUAUUAUGU
RNAcentral lists this long non-coding RNA (4664 nucleotides) under Salmo salar (Atlantic salmon). Its description in RNAcentral is "lncRNA (ENSSSAG00000115439.1)". The record is from RNAcentral. Lineage: Eukaryota; Metazoa; Chordata; Actinopteri; Salmoniformes; Salmonidae.